RNAcentral lists this ribosomal RNA (274 nucleotides) under uncultured bacterium. RNAcentral's name for it is "partial 16S ribosomal RNA". It matches the Rfam family "Bacterial small subunit ribosomal RNA", at positions 523 to 796 of the family's 1533-position model. The record is from RNAcentral.
AUACGGAGGGUGCAAGCGUUAUCCGGAAUCAUUGGGUUUAAAGGGUCCGCAGGCGGACUAAUAAGUCAGUGGUGAAAUCCUCUCGCUUAACGAGAGAACUGCCAUUGAAACUGUUAGUCUUGAAUUCGGUCGAAGUAGGCGGAAUGUGUCAUGUAGCGGUGAAAUGCAUAGAUUUGACACAGAACACCGAUAGCGAAGGCAGCUUACUAGACCUGGAUUGACGCUCAUGGACGAAAGCGUGGGGAGCGAACAGGAUUAGAAACCCUAGUAGUCC